UACCCCCACAACACCCAUAGUCCCACUCACGCCUCCCUGCAAGAUACAUCACGACAAGGAGCAGUUGAUAGACAGCGACACCGAGCUCAAGGCAGAUAGUCUUUCGCUCCUUCCUUCCUCGCACACCGAACAAGUUCAAGUAACGAUGCGCUGGCCAUUCCUGGUGUUCACUCUUACCCUGGCGGUGCUGGUGAUGGCUGUGGCGGGCCGAAUCGACGCUCAGAAGUUCUCACAGACCCAUAUGAUGGCGUGCAGCAGCCUGUGUCACCGAAUGGACAACCGUGGCAUAUGCAGGCCGGACAUAAAGUGCCUCCGCAAUAUUCGACGACGCUGGAGACUCUAAAGCAUACCAUUCACCCCGAGUCCAUCACUUACCUGUAACAACGCUCCCUCCAUCCCGGACUUAUCCUCCCCUCCUUCCAUCUCACUCAUGAACAUCCUUCCACUCCAUCCUUACUCCAGCUCCCAAAAUUUCCUGCAGCACAUUCGAUCCAUCCCCCGACAUCUUCGUUUUCAACCUCAUUUACGCAUUGAUUUCCUCACGUAUCCCAACCGCGGCCCCCAGCCAUGAGAGCCUGGUGUAUUGCAAACCGGUGCCUCCCUCACUCACCUCGUCAUCCACGACAUCUCUCCCUCGUUCCUUUACAUCAUCGUCGUCACCAAAGACUCGGAGUAGCUUCUCGGCCAUACACCUUUUUUUAUGUUUCUACAUUCUUUGUUUUCUUUUAUAACUAUUUUAUUCUCUCUGAUCAGUACUAUCAAUCCUCUUCCUUCUACUCUGCACAUGUUGUACAGCUUUCUGAAGUUUUUCUACGUGAGCUUCUUGCCACUCCACUUCAACAAAUUAGAUGGAAGGCGGUGGCCUAGUGACCAGCCCACGGACGAAGCUGACUUGGAUACAUAGUGACUUCCAAAAAUAAAAAAAAUCAAGGAUGGCUGAGUUUUCUUCACUAACCAAAAUCAUCCACAUGCUGUCUCGCAGCCCUUCCCUUGGUUAUGACUUCGACUGAAUCAAUGGAGGACAGAAUGAGACAAGCAGCAAGGAAAAACUGACGUCGCUAUGAAGCAUCAGCGGCCUGAGGAUGACCACACGCACCCGACAACGUAGCCGACCAGAGCAUUACGCCAGCAUAGAGAAAGCAAAACAGACAAUGCUAAAACAUUUGUGUCACUUUCACUGUCACUCCUUAGUGACGUGAUGUAUUUAACUGUAGAGUUGUAAUGAUUGAAUAAAUUGAUGACCAAUUUGUAUACUUUAUAUUGUAUUGUAUAUUUGUAUAUUGUAUUGUAUAGACAAAAGAAAAUAUAUUUUUACCUUCGUUUA
This is a long non-coding RNA of Eriocheir sinensis (Chinese mitten crab), 1324 nucleotides long. RefSeq lists it as uncharacterized. The transcript has 2 exons. NCBI's taxonomy places the organism in Eukaryota, Metazoa, Arthropoda, Malacostraca, Decapoda, Varunidae. The record is from RefSeq and is a predicted model, not a curated record.